This 127-nucleotide small nucleolar RNA is filed under the name Meriones unguiculatus (Mongolian gerbil). RNAcentral describes it as "Small nucleolar RNA SNORA70 (ENSMUGG00000010547.1)". It matches the Rfam family "Small nucleolar RNA SNORA70". From Rfam's summary of the family: snoRNA U70 seems to be exclusive to mammals and is a member of the H/ACA class of snoRNA which contain H (ANANNA) and ACA box motifs. Lineage: Eukaryota; Metazoa; Chordata; Mammalia; Rodentia; Muridae. The record is from RNAcentral.
GUGCAGCCGAUCAGAUUCCUUUCCUCAGGAGAGCCUAAUGUGCAGCGCUCCGAGGUUGCUGCCAGUUCUUGGUAAUGUGUGCCGCCUGCUGCUGUAUGUGUUGCCCUAAGGGACCCUGGAGAUUUUU